AGGGGUAUAGCUCAGUGGUAGAACACAUGCUUAGCAUGCACGAGGUCCUGGGUUCAAUCCCCAGUACCUCUG
RNAcentral lists this transfer RNA (72 nucleotides) under Camelus bactrianus (Bactrian camel). It matches the Rfam family "tRNA". Rfam says of the family: Transfer RNA (tRNA) molecules are approximately 80 nucleotides in length. Their secondary structure includes four short double-helical elements and three loops (D, anti-codon, and T loops). Further hydrogen bonds mediate the characteristic L-shaped molecular structure. tRNAs have two regions of fundamental functional importance: the anti-codon, which is responsible for specific mRNA codon recognition, and the 3' end, to which the tRNAs corresponding amino acid is attached (by aminoacyl-tRNA synthetases). tRNAs cope with the degeneracy of the genetic code in two manners: having more than one tRNA (with a specific anti-codon) for a particular amino acid; and 'wobble' base-pairing, i.e. permitting non-standard base-pairing at the 3rd anti-codon position. The record is from Rfam by way of RNAcentral. RNAcentral also lists the same sequence under 2 other names. Lineage: Eukaryota; Metazoa; Chordata; Mammalia; Artiodactyla; Camelidae.